RNAcentral lists this small RNA (116 nucleotides) under Salmonella enterica subsp. enterica serovar Saintpaul. Its description in RNAcentral is "partial RtT sRNA". It matches the Rfam family "RtT RNA", at positions 1 to 114 of the family's 130-position model. From Rfam's summary of the family: This family represents a bacterial cis-regulatory element known as RtT RNA. The exact function of RtT is unknown although it is thought that it may be involved in changing the cellular response in relation to amino acid starvation. Lineage: Bacteria; Pseudomonadati; Pseudomonadota; Gammaproteobacteria; Enterobacterales; Enterobacteriaceae. The record is from RNAcentral.
AUAUCUCUCUGUACGGGAAGGAUGAGAAGCUUCGACUAAGGUUCGAUUCGAGCGCAGCGAGAAAGCGUUGCCGCAGGCAACGACCCGAAUGUCUCAGCGCGCAGGGAUGAGUAGAA